UGGGGAAUCUUGCACAAUGGGGGCAACCCUGAUGCAGCGACGCCGCGUGAGCGAUGAAGCCCUUCGGGGCGUAAAGCUCUUUCGACCGGAACGAUAAUGACGGUACCGGGAGAAGAAGCUGCGUCUAACUACGUGCCAGCAGCCGCGGUAAUACGUAGGCAGCAAGCGUUGUUCGGAGUUACUGGGCGUAAAGAGUGCGUAGGCGGUUUUCUAAGUUCGGUGUGAAAUCUCCCGGCUUAACUGGGAGGGUGCGCCGAAGACUGGGAAGCUGGAGUGUGGGAAAGGCAGGCGGAAUUCCUGGUGUAGCGGUGAAAUGCGUAGAUAUCAGGAGGAACACCGGCGGUGUAGACGGCUUGCUAGACCAUAACUGACGCUGAGGCACGAAAGCGUGGGUAGCAAACA
This 402-nucleotide ribosomal RNA is filed under the name uncultured bacterium. RNAcentral's name for it is "bacterial SSU rRNA". It matches the Rfam family "Bacterial small subunit ribosomal RNA", at positions 355 to 774 of the family's 1533-position model. The record is from RNAcentral.